This 406-nucleotide ribosomal RNA is filed under the name uncultured bacterium. RNAcentral describes it as "bacterial SSU rRNA". It matches the Rfam family "Bacterial small subunit ribosomal RNA", at positions 29 to 419 of the family's 1533-position model. The record is from RNAcentral.
AACGAACGCUGGCGGCGUGCCUAACACAUGCAAGUCGUGCGAGAAAGUUCCUUCGGGAGCGAGUAAAGCGGCGCACGGGUGAGUAACACGUAGGUAACCUGCCCCCCAGUCUGGAACAACUAGAGGAAACUCUAGCUAAUGCCGGAUGAGACCACGAUCCCUUCGGGGGUUGCGGCCAAAGAUGGCCUCUACUUGUAAGCUAUCGCUGAGGGAUGGGCCUGCGGGCCAUUAGCUUGUUGGUGAGGUAACGGCUCACCAAGGCUGUGAUGGCUAGCUGGUCUGAGAGGAUGACCAGCCACACUGGGACUGAGACACGGCCCAGACUCCUACGGGAGGCAGCAGUGGGGAAUAUUGCGCAAUGGCGAAAGCCUGACGCAGCGACGCCGCGUGGGUGAUGAAGGCCUUC